AAACAAGAGCCUUUUAGAGGUGAGGUAAUAAUACCUGAUUUAAACUCAAAAUUUUAGAAAUAAGAUGUUGUGCAUCCUCAAAUUGUAGUUUCCAAGAUGGCUAGAGUUUGGCUGCCACAACUAUAACCUGAUGUCCAUGCUGAUCUAAAGCCUUUGGUAAAGACCCAGUAACAUUCAUGACAAUGACCUAGGCCAAAGGAGGUAGUUGUAUGUCUUCAGUCACUGGAUCAGUUCCAACAUUAUCAACCUUAAGUAAAGUGAAUUUAUCUGAACCUUCCAUGUUUCCAUCAUUUAUAGUGGAGAUUUCUGAGGUGUUUGAAAGAAACGAUGUCAUCGCAUCCAACCAAAAUUUCUCUGAAGUCAUCUCUUUUAACUAUUUGGUCAAAUUCUUAAUAAAGGAAGCUGUUUGAGGGGAUACAUGUUCAAGUUCCUUUUCAUAUUUAACAUGACUUCUAUUGAUAUCUGAAGAAGCAAUUUCUGCUACCUCAUCUAAAAUUGCAUGACAUGGCUGCUGGGAAGAAGAAAAGUGCCAAUAUGUUGUUCAAGCAUAUUGAAAUCACUAGUUGAAGUACUAUCUGAAUUUGGCAAAGAGUUCUUCUUCUAUUCAUAAGAAGUUUUGUCCACUUCGUGGUCAACACUGCUGCUUUGUAUAGCAGAACCUAAUUUUCUUCUUUCAGCAAGAGAAGAACCUUCAACUGCGCUCUCAAUUCCAUGUUAUGAGGAUUCCCAAUCCCAACUUCCUGCAAAAUAUUAUCAUCAGCAACAUAACCCCCAUCACCAUCCAUGACCGCUCCAACUCUUGUCACACCCUCCACCAA
Molecule: unclassified non-coding RNA, 818 nt
Filed under: Hevea brasiliensis (rubber tree)
Lineage: Eukaryota; Viridiplantae; Streptophyta; Magnoliopsida; Malpighiales; Euphorbiaceae
Source: RNAcentral